Molecule: ribosomal RNA, 407 nt
Filed under: uncultured bacterium
Lineage: Bacteria
Description: partial 16S ribosomal RNA
Rfam family: Bacterial small subunit ribosomal RNA
Source: RNAcentral
UCGAGAAUAUUCCACAAUGGACGAAAGUCUGAUGGAGCGACGCCGCGUGCAGGAAGAAGGUCUUCGGAUUGUAAACUGCUUUUCUACGGGAUGAAUAAAUGACAGUACCGUAGGAAUAAGAAGCUGCAAACUACGUGCCAGCAGCCGCGGUAAUACGUAGGCUUCGAGCGUUAUCCGGAUUUAUUGGGCGUAAAGGGUGUGUAGGAGGCUUUUGCGCGUCUCAUGUUAAAUCUCAUCGCUCAACGAUGAGGCUGCAUGGGAUACGGCAAGGCUAGAGGGUGCGAGAGGUCUAUAGAACGCAUGGUGUAGGGGUGAAAUCCGUUGAUAUCAUGCGGAAUACCAAAGGCGAAGGCAGUAGACUGGCGCAUUCCUGACUCUGAAACACGAAAGCGUGGGGAGCAAAAAGG